GAUGAACGCUAGCGGCAGGCUUAACACAUGCAAGUCGAGGGGCAGCAGUGAGGGUUAGCAAUAACUCUUGAUGGCGACCGGCGCAAGGGUGCGUAACGCGUGAGCAACUUGCCCGUUUCUGGGGAAUAACCGGUGGAAACGCCGACUAAUACCCCAUGGCAUUGAUUGGAGGCAUCUCCGAUCAAUUAAAGAAUUUCGGAAACGGAUAGGCUCGCGUGACAUUAGCUAGAUGGCGGGGUAACGGCCCACCAAGGCGACGAUCGUUAGGGGUUCUGAGAGGAAGGUCCCCCACACUGGAACUGAGACACGGUCCAGACUCCUACGGGAGGCAGCAGUGAGGAAUAUUGGUCAAUGGUCGGAAGACUGAACCAGCCAAGUAGCGUGAAGGAUGACUGCCCUACGGGUUGUAAACUUCUUUUGUUUGGGAAUAAAGUGCAGUAUGUAUACUGUUUUGUAUGUACCGUUCGAAUAAGCAUCGGCUAAUUCCGUG
RNAcentral lists this ribosomal RNA (490 nucleotides) under uncultured bacterium. Its description in RNAcentral is "bacterial SSU rRNA". It matches the Rfam family "Bacterial small subunit ribosomal RNA", at positions 28 to 507 of the family's 1533-position model. The record is from RNAcentral.